UUCAACGCUCUUCCAGAAAGACUGCUGCAGAAAGGAAACAUUACCUCUGUCCUAAGCGAGUGGCUUCAUGCAAAGCAAGAAAUGGAUACUACAAAAUCACAUGGAUUUUUCCUAGCCAGCUUCCUUGUCCUCAUGCUCUUGGGUGAUCUCACUGAGGCCUGUACAUGUCAGCGACUAGGUCUGCGGAAAGCAUGUUGCCAUCAUGACUUUGUGAUGAGGGUCCUAUUUAUGGGUGUCCAGCAGGAUCCUGACUCUCCUUCAUAUAUGCGCAUAAAUAAAUUUUCUAUUCGGCCUGUUCAGGUAUUCAAGGGUUCAGGGAGAGCAGUAAAUGCACAGUUUCUCUACUCACCAGAAUUAAACUCUUACUG
Crotalus tigris (Tiger rattlesnake) is the source of this 368-nucleotide long non-coding RNA. RefSeq lists it as uncharacterized. The record is from RefSeq and is a predicted model, not a curated record. The transcript has 3 exons. Lineage: Eukaryota; Metazoa; Chordata; Lepidosauria; Squamata; Viperidae.